CAAUAGCGUAUAUUAAAGUUGUUGCAGUUAAAAAGCUCGUAGUUGGAUUUGUGGCGUACGGUGUGUUCCGGGCACUUGUUGUCUGAGUAACCUGCUGUUGCCAUCCUUGGGUGGAACCUGUGUGGCAUUAGGUUGUCGUGCAGGGGAUGCCCAUCAUUUACUGUGAAAAAAUUAGAGUGUUCAAGGCAGGCUUAUGCCGUUGAAUAUAUUAGCAUGGAAUAAUGAGAUAGGACUUUUUUGCUAUUUUGUUGGUUUGCGCAAGAAGGUAAUGAUUAAUAGGGACAGUUGGGGGUAUUCGUAUUCCAUUGUCAGAGGUGAAAUUCUUGGAUUUUUGGAAGACGAACUACUGCGAAAGCAUUUACCAAGGAUGUUUUCAUUAA
RNAcentral lists this ribosomal RNA (380 nucleotides) under uncultured eukaryote. Its description in RNAcentral is "partial 18S ribosomal RNA". It matches the Rfam family "Eukaryotic small subunit ribosomal RNA", at positions 592 to 976 of the family's 1831-position model. The record is from RNAcentral.